CCCCCUACGGGAGGCAGCAGUGAGGAAUAUUGGUCAAUGGGCGGGAGCCUGAACCAGCCAAGUCGCGUGAAGGAAGAAGGUACUUAGUAUUGUAAACUUCUUUUGUCGGGGAACAAAGGCGGAGACGCGUCUCCGGAUGAGUAUACCCGAAGAAAAAGCAUCGGCUAACUCCGUGCCAGCAGCCGCGGUAAUACGGAGGAUGCGAGCGUUAUCCGGAUUUACUGGGUGUAAAGGGCGUGUAGCCGGGCUGACAAGUCAGAUGUGAAAUCCGGGGGCUCAACCCCCGAACUGCAUUUGAAACUGUU
This 305-nucleotide ribosomal RNA is filed under the name uncultured bacterium. Its description in RNAcentral is "bacterial SSU rRNA". It matches the Rfam family "Bacterial small subunit ribosomal RNA", at positions 335 to 637 of the family's 1533-position model. The record is from RNAcentral.